This 497-nucleotide ribosomal RNA is filed under the name uncultured bacterium. Its description in RNAcentral is "partial 16S ribosomal RNA". It matches the Rfam family "Bacterial small subunit ribosomal RNA", at positions 28 to 507 of the family's 1533-position model. The record is from RNAcentral.
GACGAACGCUGGCGGCGUGCCUAAUACAUGCAAGUUGAGCGAUGAAGCUUGGUGCUUGCACCAAUUUGAAGAGCAGCGAACGGGUGAGUAACGCGUGGGGAAUCUGCCUUUGAGCGGGGGAUAACAUUUGGAGACGAAUGCUAAUACCGCAUAACAACUUUAAACAUAAGUUUUAAGUUUGAAAGAUGCAAUUGCAUCACCCAAAGAUGAUCCCGCGUUGUAUUAGCUAGUUGGUGAGGUAAAGGCUCACCAAGGCGAUGAUACAUAGCCGAACUGAGAGGGGUGACGGCCCCAUUGGGACUGGGACACGGCCCAAAAUCCCACGGGAGGGAGCAGGAAGGAAACUUCGGGAAUGGACGAAAGGCUGACCGGGCAACGCCGCGGGGGUGAAGAAGGUUUUCGGAUCGUAAAACUCUGUUGGUAGGGAAGAACGUUGGGGGGAGUGGAAAGCUCAUCAAGUGACGGUAACUACCCAGAAAGGGACGGCUAACUACGUG